This 954-nucleotide long non-coding RNA is filed under the name Fukomys damarensis (Damara mole-rat). RNAcentral's name for it is "lncRNA (ENSFDAG00000032971.1)". Lineage: Eukaryota; Metazoa; Chordata; Mammalia; Rodentia; Bathyergidae. The record is from RNAcentral.
AAGGUGCAGAAAGGAAGAGAUUACAAUCAUGUGGUCGGGGUAGAAGAUCCCUCUGCUGAGAGGACAAGAGAGUUGAGAACUUCAGGAUGAAAAGGGUGAGUUUUCCAGGCCCAGGAAAAUCAAGUGCAGAGGCUCUGGGACAAACUAGGUGGGUUUUUUUUAGGAUGUAAAGGCAGAGUGGCAGCAACUUUGUGAGCAAAGGGCUAAGGCCAAGGUGGGAGGUGCGACGGCAAAGCUGGGAAAGGGUUUGAACCAAUCCGAGUCAAAGGAAUCAGGCUCCCAGGCUGUACGGACCAGGCUGUCCAGUUCGCCGAUGCGGGUGCAGUCAAGUGCCUGAAGCCACCCGGCACCUGGCGCGGGGCUGAGGCAAGCGACCCCGAGAGCGUCCAGGCCCAGGAGCCAAAGUCGAUCCGGCGACGGGCGCUCCAGAAACGACUAUCUUCACCGUGCGGUGACCAAAUCACCCCCUCCAACAGCGAACUCAUUGGUUUCGCCCCUCAACCCGCAUUGGCUGAGGAUUUACGCCUCGACCAGGGAUUGGAGAAUGACAGGUUUUACCUAAUUUCCCCAAUCCCAUUGGCUCGUCGUCCCCGUUUCUGGGCGGAGUGGACGGGGACGGUUUCCACCCUGUUGUUUACGGAGCGCUUAGUUGUAGUUCUGGGGCUGUCUCCAAAGUUCCCUAUUUAGCUACUCGGACCAAUUGGGGCCUGGCUCCACCCUCUCUCCCUCCCUCACACGCGUUCCUCGUGGUACGGCCCACACCUUUACAGCGGCGGCGCGUGCGGACGCCCGGCGCGUCCACCCCCCGGGCGCUUUGGUACGGUCCACACCGCCUCCUUCCUCGGUCCUCUGGCGGCGCCCCUCCCGGUCGGUGGCGUUUGGUGCCGCCCGGGAGAACCAGGUCAUCGGUCGGUUAGCGUGAAAACAAAAACAAUCGGUGGCGCCGCAGCGGGC